This 442-nucleotide ribosomal RNA is filed under the name uncultured bacterium. RNAcentral's name for it is "partial 16S ribosomal RNA". It matches the Rfam family "Bacterial small subunit ribosomal RNA", at positions 338 to 795 of the family's 1533-position model. The record is from RNAcentral.
CCUACGGGAGGCAGCAGUAGGGAAUCUUUCACAAUGGGCGAAAGCCUGAUGGAGCAACGCCGCGUGCAGGAUGAAGGCCUUCGGGUUGUAAACUGCUUUUAUAAGCGAGAAAUAUGAUGGUAACUUAUGAAUAAGGAUCGGCUAACUACGUGCCAGCAGCCGCGGUCAUACGUAGGAUCCGAGCAUUAUCCGGAGUGACUGGGUGUAAAGAGUUUCGUAGGUGGCAUAAUAAGUAGCUAGUGAAAUCUGGUGGCUCAACCAUUCAGACUAUUAGCUAAACUGUUAAGCUCGAGACCGUUAGGGGUAACUGGAAUGUCUAGUGUAGGAGUGAAAUCCGUAGAUAUUAGAAGGAACACCGAUAGCGUAGGCAGGUUGCUGGGACGGUUCUGACACUAAGGCACGAAAGCGUAGGGAGCAAACGGGAUUAGAUACCCUGGUAGUC